RNAcentral lists this ribosomal RNA (253 nucleotides) under uncultured bacterium. RNAcentral describes it as "partial 16S ribosomal RNA". It matches the Rfam family "Bacterial small subunit ribosomal RNA", at positions 524 to 776 of the family's 1533-position model. The record is from RNAcentral.
UACGGAGGGUGCAAACGUUGCUCGGAAUCACUGGGCGUAAAGCGCACGUAGGCGGGUCGGUAUGUCGGGUGUGAAAUCCCCGGGCUCAACCUGGGAAGUGCAUUCGAAACUGCCGACCUUGAGUACGGGAGAGGAUCGCGGAAUUCCCGGUGUAGAGGUGAAAUUCGUAGAUAUCGGGAGGAACACCAGUGGCGAAGGCGGCGAUCUGGACCGAUACUGACGCUGAGGUGCGAAAGCUAGGGGAGCAAACGGG